AGUUCUCCCUUCAACUAGAAGUGGUUUUUGGGCUUGGUAACUGAUCGAAAGUGUAUAGUUUCUUCGAAAUGUCUUUCUCUCCGAGCAAUGGAAAGAAGCGCAAGCGUAGCCCUGGGGACAACGAUGGAAUCACGCCCAGGAUGGGCCUUGAUGAUUCUCCGCCGGUGGCGCCACCGAGAAGUGGAUACGGUUACGGGCCCGGACUGGGCAUGCUAGGAGGAAUUGGACAAGGGCGGGGACAUGGUCAAGGAUUGGGACAUGGACAUGGACAGGCAAUGAGAUUUGGACUUGGAUUUGGUCAUGGACGGGGACAGGGACUUGGAUUCGGUCAUGGACAAGGACAGGGACUCGGACAAGGACACAGACCGGGGCUUGGACAAGGACAGGGGCUAGGAUCUGACGGUGGAUUUGGCGAGGACACAGAAAGAACACUGAGUGUGCCGGUUGAUGAAAACACUUAGGAUAAGUAACCAGGCGAAGGAGCAAACACUCACUAGGAGCAGGCGACAACACCCACCCGAAGAAGACACCAGGACCAGGACAGUACACCUCAGGGGCUCAUCAAGGAGUGAUUCAAGCAGCAACACCCGACCCGACCACAGAAGCUCCUCAGUCGAUUAACAAUCCAUCAGGCAGGACACUUACGGCAGGGCAGUCACCAAUUAGGCCACUUAAGGCGCGGCAAUCAAUCACCAGGCUGGAACGGAAGAUUUGGGUUUUGCAUUGGAAAUAGUUGUUGAGAUAAGCUUGACGUUUCAUAAAAUGUAAUACAUAUAUAUUUUCGUUUCUCGAUUCUUGCUCUUUGUCUUUUUGUUAGUUUCUUAACUCUUCCCGUUGACUGCCAUGUCGGGUGUUCUUUGUGCUGGCUGUCCCUCUCCGCUAUCCUGCUGGCCUCGUCCUGUCUCUGCCGGACUCGGACUCGGCCCUCCUGACCACUCUCUCGCGCUUUGUUUUCAACAAUCCUGCCUCUUCUAAUGAUUAUAUAGAGCACUGGGCGUCCAAAGUUGGGCCCGCGCGCGUAGUAUGUAUAUUUGAUUUAAAUCGAAGCUGCUAAAAACGUAAAAGCAAAUUCAACAAACAAACUCUCAUAGGUCGUACAUAUUUGUCGAUACAUUGAUUCUUACUCUAGAUAUAAGGUAUGUGAUGCAGAUAUCUGUGGUUCACUGGAUAUAAGGCAAUGGAUACGUGUGUGUGGUGAGGGGUGUGUGGUGUGUGGUGUUUGGUGUUUGGUGUUUGGUGUUUGGGGUGGGGGUAGAUGCCAUAUUAUGAUCUGAUCCGGACCCGCAUCCGGAGUCGGAGUACGGAGUCCUGGAUCCCAAAAUCAAGGCGCAAACAAAGACGAGGGGGCAAAGGUUAACAAUGUUCAAUAUUUUCGUAUCUUAGGG
Long non-coding RNA from Drosophila ananassae, 1385 nucleotides. RefSeq lists it as uncharacterized. The record is from RefSeq and is a predicted model, not a curated record. The transcript is spliced from 3 exons. Lineage: Eukaryota; Metazoa; Arthropoda; Insecta; Diptera; Drosophilidae.